This 403-nucleotide ribosomal RNA is filed under the name Verrucomicrobiota bacterium. RNAcentral's name for it is "Verrucomicrobia bacterium partial 16S ribosomal RNA". It matches the Rfam family "Bacterial small subunit ribosomal RNA", at positions 355 to 776 of the family's 1533-position model. The record is from RNAcentral. Lineage: Bacteria; Pseudomonadati; Verrucomicrobiota.
UGGGGAAUAUUGCACAAUGGGCGCAAGCCUGAUGCAGCAACGCCGCGUGAACGAUGAAGGUCUUCGGAUCGUAAAGUUCUGUUGCAGGGGAAGAUAAUGACGGUACCCUGUGAGGAAGCCCCGGCUACCUACGUGCCAGCAGCCGCGGUAAUACGUAGGGGGCUAGCGUUAUCCGGAUUUACUGGGCGUAAAGGGUGCGUAGGUGGUCUUUCAAGUCGGUGGUUAAAGGCUACGGCUCAACCGUAGUUAGCCUCCGAAACUGGAAGACUUGAGUGCAGGAGAGGAAAGUGGAAUUCCCAGUGUAGCGGUGAAAUGCGUAGAUAUUGGGAGGAACACCAGUAGCGAAGGCGGCUUUCUGGACUGCAACUGACACUGAGGCACGAAAGCGUGGGUAGCAAACAGG